GCUUUGUGCCCCUGAGAACUGGCUCCCUGGGAGUGGUGGGCCUGUGUCCUUACUUCUGAAAUGGUGUCACUCAAAGCCAACGUUGGCCAGCAGCAUGAGAAAGAUCCCAGCUGCGGUCUCAGAGGGCAGCGGCAGCAGUGCUAUGCUCUGGUCUCCUUAGGAGAAGGUCCUCAGCUUCACAGAGCAACAGAAUUCCCAGGGGCUGCUCAGCAGACUGCUGGGCACUCCUCCUGGUUGGCACCGGGGUGGGCUGGAGUGAGGUCUGAGAUGUGCAUUCUCUUGGUGAGUCAAUGCUGCUGGCCCAGAGGCCGGGUUUUGGGAACCACUAGCUGGUGACUGGUCAGGAGGUGAGGCUGGAGCCCAGGGUCCGUGGUAUUUGCCAUAUGGCCUUCACCUGCACUCCCAGAGUCAGGAACUUUCCAGGCUGAGAGAUGGCCCUUCACAGGUCUCAACUUCUGUGGUUCUGUGGGAAAAGGAAAUUGCAUGGGAUUUAAAUCACUCGUUUUCUUAUUGUUUACAUUGAUUGGAUUCACAGUAUCUGUUCAAAUACCACGUCACGCCUGCCACAGAACUGGGGUGUCCAAGAGCAGGAGGGAUUGAUUGGCCUGCCCUGGAGGUUUCAGAGCUGGUGGCAGAAAGGAAAGGGCACCUAUGCAUUCACUCUGCCCCCACCAUACCAAGGUCAAAAUGGCUGCGGGAUGGAGUUUUGAACGGGAUGUUUAGUGUUUUAACUUAAUGUUUAAAUUAAAUAUGUGCAUGUUUUUCUAUGUGGCUGUUAGUUUUUGCUGACGUUAUUCUCUACAAGAGAUAAAUGUAAUAUUCUUUAUCAUUAAAACUUUUACUUAAACAUUCCCUGAUAACAUGAGUAGUGUGAGCAAGGAAAACAAUCUGUGUGUGUUGUAUUUUGAUUUCACUGACCUGUGACUGCUCACACGCUGCUCUACAGAUCACACUGGACCUGGUCUCCUGACGGUGGGCGCUGCGGCUCUCACCCUCUAGGGAGCUGGGUGCAGACUCAUCUCAUCACUGUUAGCUGCAGAAUGAUUGCCGCAGGCUUCAAAGCCAGAACCCAAAACUAAGAGUUAAACUUCAUCCAUUUACCACCACAGAGUCACUCUGAAUCACCCUACCUCUGUGCGCUGCAUGAAAUCUGGCUGGACUUUGUGAUGUGAACC
Molecule: long non-coding RNA, 1175 nt
Filed under: Marmota monax (woodchuck)
Lineage: Eukaryota; Metazoa; Chordata; Mammalia; Rodentia; Sciuridae
Source: RNAcentral